RNAcentral lists this long non-coding RNA (283 nucleotides) under Phoenix dactylifera (date palm). RNAcentral describes it as "long non-coding RNA (PDAC_LNC005781)". The record is from RNAcentral. Lineage: Eukaryota; Viridiplantae; Streptophyta; Magnoliopsida; Arecales; Arecaceae.
UGGCAGUUUUUUCUAUGUGAUCUAUGUGCACAUGCACACAUUGACACAUCCAAAACAUGAAAUCCACUUGUUAAAUUUGCAUAGUCUUUAUACAUUCACUUGAUGCAUAGGUAAAAGACUUUAGAAAACAUAAUAUCUAGAUCCUAGGUCAUUUUUAUAUUACAAAUCAUGAUGAACUAUGUAGAUUUUAAGAGUUCUACUAAAAUAGAAAGUGCAUAAUCCCAAUAGUUUGAAUUCUCAAAAGCAUUCAAGUUCUACUCUCACUCACUCUCUCUCUCUCUAA